AGAGUGGGGGGGACCAGUACAGACCAAUACAGACCAGUAUAGAUCAGUAUAGACCGGUAUAGACCAGUAUAAACCAGUAUGGACCAGUAUAGACCAGUAUAAACCAGGAUAGACCAGAAUAAACCAGUAGGGACCAGUACAGACCAGUAUAAACCAGUAUAGA
Long non-coding RNA from Chiroxiphia lanceolata (lance-tailed manakin), 163 nucleotides. RefSeq lists it as uncharacterized. Lineage: Eukaryota; Metazoa; Chordata; Aves; Passeriformes; Pipridae. The record is from RefSeq and is a predicted model, not a curated record. The transcript is spliced from 4 exons.